Non-coding RNA from Tetranychus urticae (two-spotted spider mite), 2092 nucleotides. The record is from RefSeq and is a predicted model, not a curated record. NCBI's taxonomy places the organism in Eukaryota, Metazoa, Arthropoda, Arachnida, Trombidiformes, Tetranychidae.
CAAAGCAAUACCGAGUGUUCAAAUUCAAUUUGUGCUUUUAGAAUUCAUCGUUUGAAUGAACAAAUAGAAAGUUUACUGGAACUAGAAAUUGAUCAACAAAGAAUAAAAAUAUUAUCGGGACCGGCUUUUUUCCACCACAUCAACCACUUUAUCCACCACUUUAAAAGUGGCUUUUUUCAACACAUUUUCGAACAAUUUUUUAUAAGAUUAUCCACCACCCAAAUCCAUCGAAUUUUUGACCACUUUUGGGGUAUGAUGGCGAUUAAUAGUGGAUGUGUUAGAUGGUGUAAAUGGUCUAAAAGACGGUAAGGUAAAAAAAUUGGUGGAUAAAGUGGUGGAAAAAUAUCUGGUCCCAUAUUAUCUGAAAAACUUGAUUCUGUAUCAAAAUAUUCUUGCAAAUAUUGUCCUUGUUUAACUAAUUCUGGCUACAAUCGUGAUCGAUAUCAACAAAAGCGUAAAGACAAAACUCGCGCCACACGCCAUGUAUCCAAUACUACCAACUAUCAUCUUUCAAAGAAUUGAAUCCAAGGAGAUAACUCCAAAGUAAAAAUAGGCUUUACCGCAAUAUCUCAAUGGUGACUGUAUCUUUAUUAUUAUAUUAUUAAUUAUUGUAUUAUUUAAUCAAGGGUCAGUGCUGUUGAUGUGUUUUAUUGCUGAUUCACUGCAUUUUUCUCGCUUUUUUGUUUGUGUGCAAAUAAUUUCUAAUAAAGCUUAUGUUUGUUAAAAUGAAUCACAUCUCUAGAUCUCAGUAUCUGUUUUAACAAGUGAAUUGUUAGGCUUAAGCAUUUGUUGAUUUUAUAAUGUCUAUCAAUGAACUUCCAGACGAUUGUUUGCUGCUCAUUUUUGAUUUAAUUAAUGAAUUGGAUGAUUUGUUAAACUGCUAUAAAGUAUGCAGCAAAUGGAGCCAUUUAAUUGCAGAGCGAACCAGAAAAGUUAAAUAUUUAAUUGAACAUCAAGAUUGGCGUAAUGAUGAAUUAUCUCUAAGUUAUCCGUUUGAUUGGAUUUAUUAUCGAACAGAGGAACCGAUCGAUGGAACUUGUCUCAGCACAUUAUUCCCAAAUUUAAUGAUUGCCGACUUUUCUGACAGAUUCCGCGUAAAAGUAAAGCAUGAAGAUAUCGUUAAAUUGGUCAAAAAGAUAAAACAUUUAAAAGGAUUAUUUCAUCCAAUCCAUAGCGAUGAAGGAUCAGUUUUUCAAUAUUGUGAUGAACUCGAAAUGGUUUCCAUCAAACAAAUUGAGCCGUGCAUAGAAAAGAUUGGUUUCAAUAUUAAACAGUUGUACCUUUACAACUAUAGAUUAGAUAAAUUCACAGAAAAUGCACAUUAUUUUCCAAAUCUCGAAAGACUAUACAUUUAAAAUGAAGGUGAUUUUUAAAUAUAUUUUGAAGAAACUUUUGAUAAUGAACAUUCACCUUGCAUCCUCAGCGAACCCUGAUGGACCCUACAAUGGUCCCAUAUUGACAAGACUUAAAAUACUUGCAUUGGUCUCAUCUUCUUGGAAUGGUUUCCAGUUCAUGGAUUCAUGUCCAAACUUACAAAGUGCUCAUAUUAAAUUUGACUUUAAUCGCCUUUUUGUUACUGAAUCACUAAAACACAAAUCCUUGCAAGAUUUAGUUUUAGAUUUUUAUCCCGAAGGUGUCGAAUGGAGUGAAUUGAAAAGAUUGUUCAUAAAAUAUCCAAAUCUUAAACAUCUUGCAAUUUACGGCUACUAUGACAUGGAAAAUGAACAUGUGGAGCAAUUGGUUCGCAUUUUACCCAAUUUAGUGUUAUUUGUUAUUCGUGAUUGUCCUGGAGUCACUCAAGAGGCCGCUAACUAUGUUCAAGGUUAUAAUAAACUACAUGGACGAUCAAUCAAGUUUUAUUUUGAUGAGAAUUUCCGUGAAAUUCAGUCAGAUUGGCCUCAGUUAUCGACUAAGGGUGAAAAAAUGAGCCUAGGUUUUGAUUUCAUGAAAAAUUGUUUUCUCAAAGGUUUUCUUUUUCUUUCUAACUUCUUAAUAACUAACGAAGACUAAAUAAUCAAACUAUCGAUGAUCUUCCAGGCAAUUGUUUGCUCAUCAUUUUUGGUCAAAUAAAUGAACAGAAUGAUUUAUAUAA